RNAcentral lists this transfer RNA (71 nucleotides) under Solirubrobacterales bacterium. RNAcentral's name for it is "tRNA-Asp". The stretch from base 5 to 64 matches the Rfam family "tRNA", at positions 6 to 65 of the family's 71-position model. From Rfam's summary of the family: Transfer RNA (tRNA) molecules are approximately 80 nucleotides in length. Their secondary structure includes four short double-helical elements and three loops (D, anti-codon, and T loops). Further hydrogen bonds mediate the characteristic L-shaped molecular structure. tRNAs have two regions of fundamental functional importance: the anti-codon, which is responsible for specific mRNA codon recognition, and the 3' end, to which the tRNAs corresponding amino acid is attached (by aminoacyl-tRNA synthetases). tRNAs cope with the degeneracy of the genetic code in two manners: having more than one tRNA (with a specific anti-codon) for a particular amino acid; and 'wobble' base-pairing, i.e. permitting non-standard base-pairing at the 3rd anti-codon position. Lineage: Bacteria; Bacillati; Actinomycetota; Thermoleophilia; Solirubrobacterales. RNAcentral also lists the same sequence under 1 other name. The record is from RNAcentral.
CGGUCGUAGCCGGUUGCGCCGUACCGGCCUGUCACGCCGGAGGUCGCGGGUUCGAGUCCCGUCGCUCCCGU